Perca fluviatilis (European perch) is the source of this 1245-nucleotide long non-coding RNA. RefSeq lists it as uncharacterized. The transcript has 6 exons. The record is from RefSeq and is a predicted model, not a curated record. Lineage: Eukaryota; Metazoa; Chordata; Actinopteri; Perciformes; Percidae.
CUGCUGCGGUGUCUCGGUUGCUAACUACACAGCCUACUCUCUGCUGCUAAAUAUACGGCUUUGUUUCUGCCGUGAAUUACACAGCGUGUCUACUGCUUGGCUACUUGGUUGCUGGACUUUGGACUACAGUUGGCUUGCAUGUGGCUGCAGGCUGGUGGUGGUGUUGGUGAUGUGGGUGGUGGUGGUCUUCCUUCUUGUGUGCCAUGUUUCCUUGGAUUUGGUGACAUCACUGUGUGUCUGGGCAUUUGGGAGAACUUAAAGAGACAAAGCAGCAGUGGUUUCCAACGGAUCUUCGUGCCAGUUCUGCCUCGCGACCUUGACCUUAUCCGCGGUGCUACAACAAAGACACAGAAACCGAAAGUAUACCUCUUUCUCCUAUCUGUCUGAUUUACUGUUGUACACCUUCAUCUGUCCUCUAGCCUUACUCCUUACACUUUCGAGUUAUUAAUCUCAGCCUUCAAACACACUUUCCAAACUCAUGCGCUCAUUCAUACACUUCGUCCGCACCAUGGUAUUUCAAGACAAACAACAUUUUCACAUCUGAUUCCUGUUGGCAGUGUUUUUGUUAGUUAUUCUAGCAAUUCACUUUGUGCCAAUUUACUAAAAUUUCCUCUAGGUUCUUUUGGGAGAGAAAAACGACUUCUGACGCUUUCCACCUGGGCGAGGCUUACACUCCUUCAACACCCAGAAUUAGCAGAAAAAAUGGCUCUGCCUACCUUUGAUAUAUGUUUGGGCCCCUGGUGCUUCAGAAUGCAAGUUCCUCCCGGGAUCAGAAAGGUCUCGUCACGUCUUCCUCCUGGAUAUGGCUCGCCAAACUGAAGAAGCUGCCUGUAGGAGGAACCUCCCCUGCACUGCAGAGGUGGGGUCGUAACAGUACACAUGAGGACCCCAUCUUCCCAAAAUGCUUCCAUACAAUACGAAAAACAAGGGACAAGAGUAAAUGGCUCUAGGCAGGAACUCCUGCGUUCUACAACCUGGAAAAGGAGCUGUCUAUCCAUGUCUUGGAAUGAUGUGCAAACUCUACCUGGCUGCACUGCAUUAUAAUGAGAAUGCUGAUUGAGGACAAGCCACCACGUCAUCAGGGGAUCCUCGUUUUAAACUGAGCUUUCCAAAAUCCAGGAAGGGAGAGUGCAGAGCUAGACUACUAACUUUAUUUAUUUUCUCUCACUCAAACACAUUUACAUUGUACAUGACACAAAGUACUGCAACUGUACUUUCAACACAAUAAACAAAAAAGCUCAUUAU